Molecule: ribosomal RNA, 254 nt
Filed under: uncultured bacterium
Lineage: Bacteria
Description: partial 16S ribosomal RNA
Rfam family: Bacterial small subunit ribosomal RNA
Source: RNAcentral
UACGUAGGGUGCAAGCGUUGUCCGGAAUUAUUGGGCGUAAAGAGCUCGUAGGCGGUCUGUCGCGUCUGGUGUGAAAAUCCAGGGCUUAACCCUGGACCUGCAUCGGGUACGGGCAGACUAGAGUGCGGUAGGGGAGAUCGGAAUUCCUGGUGUAGCGGUGAAAUGCGCAGAUAUCAGGAGGAACACCGGUGGCGAAGGCGGAUCUCUGGGCCGUAAACUGACGCUGAGGAGCGAAAGCAUGGGGAGCGAACAGG